UUACCAUGCAGUCGACGGCAGCACGGGAGCAAUCCUGGUGGCGAGUGGCGAACGGGUGAGUAAUACAUCGGAACGUGUCCUGGAGUGGGGGAUAGCCCGGCGAAAGCCGGAUUAAUACCGCAUACGCUCUGAGGAGGAAAGGGGGGGAUCUUAGGACCUCUCGCUCAAGGGGCGGCCGAUGGCAGAUUAGCUAGUUGGUGGGGUAAAGGCCUACCAAGGCGACGAUCUGUAGCUGGUCUGAGAGGACGACCAGCCACACUGGGACUGAGACACGGCCCAGACUCCUACGGGAGGCAGCAGUGGGGAAUUUUGGACAAUGGGCGCAAGCCUGAUCCAGCAAUGCCGCGUGUGUGAAGAAGGCCUUCGGGUUGUAAAGCACUUUUGUCCGGAAAGAAAACACGCCUGUUAAUACCGGGUGUGGAUGACGGUACCGGAAGAAUAAGCACCGGCUAACUACGUGCCAGCAGCCGCGGUAAUACGUAGGGUGCAAGCGUUAAUCGGAAUUACUGGGCGUAAAGCGUGCGCAGGCGGUUCGUUAAGACAGAUGUGAAAUCCCCGGGCUUAACCUGGGAACUGCAUUUGUGACUGGCGGACUCGAGUAUGGCAGAGGGGGGUAGAAUUCCACGUGUAGCAGUGAAAUGCGUAGAGAUGUGGAGGAAUACCGAUGGCGAAGGCAGCCCCCUGGGCCAAUACUGACGCUCAUGCACGAAAGCGUGGGGAGCAAACAGGAUUAGAUACCCUGGUAGUCCACGCCCUAAACGAUGUCAACUGGUUGUCGGGUCUUCAUUGACUUGGUAACGAAGCUAACGCGUGAAGUUGACCGCCUGGGGAGUACGGUCGCAAGAUAAAC
Molecule: ribosomal RNA, 850 nt
Filed under: Paraburkholderia caledonica
Lineage: Bacteria; Pseudomonadati; Pseudomonadota; Betaproteobacteria; Burkholderiales; Burkholderiaceae
Description: bacterial SSU rRNA
Rfam family: Bacterial small subunit ribosomal RNA
Source: RNAcentral